Molecule: ribosomal RNA, 481 nt
Filed under: uncultured bacterium
Lineage: Bacteria
Description: bacterial SSU rRNA
Rfam family: Bacterial small subunit ribosomal RNA
Source: RNAcentral
AUUGAACGCUGGCGGCAGGCCUAACACAUGCAAGUCGAGCGAGAAAGGUCUUCGGGCUGAGUACAGCGGCGGACGGGUGAGUAACGCGUAGGAAUCUACCUGGUAGUGGGGGACAACAUGGUGAAAACCAUGCUAAUACCGCAUACGCCCUAUGGGGGAAAGCGGGGGACCUUCGGGCCUCGCGCUAUCAGAUGAGCCUGCGUAGGAUUAGCUUGUUGGUGAGGUAAAGGCUCACCAAGGCGACGAUCCUUAGCUGGUCUGAGAGGAUGAUCAGCCACACUGGAACUGAGACACGGUCCAGACUCCUACGGGAGGCAGCAGUGGGGAAUAUUGCGCAAUGGGCGAAAGCCUGACGCAGCCAUGCCGCGUGUGUGAAGAAGGCCCUUGGGUUGUAAAGCACUGUCAGGAGGGAAGAAUGAGCGGGUGGUUAAUACCCAUCUGCAGUGACGGUACCUCCAAAGGAAGCACCGGCUAACUCCGU